AGAACGAACGCUGGCGGCAGGCCUAACACAUGCAAGUCGAACGCGACCUUCGGGUCGAGUGGCGCACGGGUGAGUAACGCGUGGGAAUCUGCCCUGUGGUACGGAAUAACAUCGGGAAACUGAUGCUAAUACCGUAUAUCCCCUGAGGGGGAAAGAUUUAUCGCCAUGGGAGGAGCCCGCGUAGGAUUAGCUAGUUGGUGAGGUAACGGCUCACCAAGGCGACGAUCCUUAGCUGGUCUGAGAGGAUGAUCAGCCACACUGGGACUGAGAUACGGCCCAGACUCCUACGGGAGGCAGCAGUGGGGAAUAUUGGACAAUGGGGGAAACCCUGAUCCAGCCAUGCCGCGUGUGUGAUGAAGGCCUUCGGGUUGUAAAGCACUUUCGCACGUGACGAUGAUGACGGUACGUGAGAGAAGCCCGGCUAACUCGCGCCAGCAGCCG
RNAcentral lists this ribosomal RNA (441 nucleotides) under uncultured bacterium. RNAcentral describes it as "SSU rRNA". It matches the Rfam family "Bacterial small subunit ribosomal RNA", at positions 26 to 517 of the family's 1533-position model. The record is from RNAcentral.